This 431-nucleotide ribosomal RNA is filed under the name uncultured bacterium. RNAcentral's name for it is "partial 16S ribosomal RNA". It matches the Rfam family "Bacterial small subunit ribosomal RNA", at positions 29 to 505 of the family's 1533-position model. The record is from RNAcentral.
AACGAACGCUGGCGGCAUGCCUAACACAUGCAAGUCGAACGAGACCUUCGGGUCUAGUGGCGCACGGGUGCGUAACGCGUGGGAACCUGCCCUUAGGUUCGGAAUAACUCCCCGAAAGGGGUGCUAAUACCGGAUAAUGUCUUCGGACCAAAGAUUUAUCGCCUUUGGAUGGGCCCGCGUUGGAUUAGCUAGUUGGUAGGGUAAAAGCCUACCAAGGCGACGAUCCAUAGCUGGUCUGAGAGGAUGAUCAGCCACACUGGGACUGAGACACGGCCCAGACUCCUACGGGAGGCAGCAGUGGGGAAUAUUGGACAAUGGGCGAAAGCCUGAUCCAGCAAUGCCGCGCGAGUGAUGAAGGCCUUAGGGUUGUAAAGCUCUUUUACCCGGGAUGAUAAUGACAGUACCGGGAGAAUAAGCUCCGGCUAACUCCG